AUUUAAGUAGUUUAAUUUAAAAUUUAGAUUUGUGGAUUCUGUGAUGUUUAUAAAACCUUAAGUU
RNAcentral lists this transfer RNA (64 nucleotides) under Psammotettix sp. EMHAU-2015-Zz053036. RNAcentral describes it as "tRNA-His". Lineage: Eukaryota; Metazoa; Arthropoda; Insecta; Hemiptera; Cicadellidae. The record is from RNAcentral.